GAUGAACGCUGGCGGCGUGCCUAACACAUGCAAGUCGAACGGAGAUUACGGACGGAAGUUUUCGGAUGGAAGCCUGUAAUUCUUAGUGGCGGACGGGUGAGUAACGCGUGGGCAACCUGCCCUAUACAGGGGGAUAGCAGCUGGAAACGGCUGGUAAGACCGCAUAAGUCGGUUAAAUCGCAUGAUUUGAUCGGGAAAUGAGCAAUCAGGUAUAGGAUGGGCCCGCGUCCGAUUAGCCAGUUGGCAGGGUAAAAGCCUACCAAAGCGACGAUCGGUAGCCGGGCUGAGAGGUCGGACGGCCACAUUGGGACUGAGACACGGCCCAAACUCCUACGGGAGGGAGCAGUGGGGGAUAUUGCACAAUGGAGGAAACUCUGAUACAGCGACGCCGCGUGAGUGAAGAAGUAUUUCGGUAUGUAAAGCUCUAUCAGCAGGGAAGAUAAUGACGGUACCUGGCUAAGAAGCCCCGGCUAACUACGUG
This 481-nucleotide ribosomal RNA is filed under the name uncultured bacterium. RNAcentral describes it as "partial 16S ribosomal RNA". It matches the Rfam family "Bacterial small subunit ribosomal RNA", at positions 28 to 507 of the family's 1533-position model. The record is from RNAcentral.